RNAcentral lists this ribosomal RNA (741 nucleotides) under uncultured marine bacterium. RNAcentral's name for it is "bacterial SSU rRNA". It matches the Rfam family "Bacterial small subunit ribosomal RNA", at positions 56 to 845 of the family's 1533-position model. The record is from RNAcentral.
UGCAAGUCGAACGAAGUAGCAAUACUUAGUGGCAGACGGGUGAGUAACAUGUAGGUAUCUGCCCUUUGGCCUGGAAUAACACGAGGAAACUUGUGCUAAUACCGGAUAAGUCUUUACGGAGAAAGCUUUAUGCACCAUUGGAUGAGCCUGCACUUGAUUAGUUUGUUGGUGGGGUAAUGGCCUACCAAGACUAUGAUCAAUAGCUGAUUUGAGAGGAUGAUCAGCCACAUUGGGACUGAGACACGGCCCAAACUCCUACGGGAGGCAGCAGUGGGGAAUCUUGCACAAUGGAGGAAACUCUGAUGCAGCGAUGCCGCGUGAGUGAAGAAGGCCCUUGGGUUGUAAAGCUCUUUCGUCGGGGAAGAAAAUGACUGUACCCGAAUAAGAAGGUCCGGCUAACUUCGUGCCAGCAGCCGCGGUAAUACGAAGGGACCUAGCGUAGUUCGGAAUUACUGGGCUUAAAGAGUUCGUAGGUGGUUGAAAAAGUUGGUGGUGAAAUCCCAGAGCUUAACUCUGGAACUGCCAUCAAAACUUUUCAGCUAGAGUAUGAUAGAGGAAAGCAGAAUUUCUAGUGUAGAGGUGAAAUUCGUAGAUAUUAGAAAGAAUACCAAUUGCGAAGGCAGCUUUCUGGAUCAUUACUGACACUGAGGAACGAAAGCAUGGGUAGCGAAGAGGAUUAGAUACCCUCGUAGUCCAUGCCGUAAACGAUGUGUGUUAGACGUUGGAAAUUUAUUUUCAGUG